RNAcentral lists this ribosomal RNA (433 nucleotides) under uncultured bacterium. RNAcentral describes it as "partial 16S ribosomal RNA". It matches the Rfam family "Bacterial small subunit ribosomal RNA", at positions 29 to 507 of the family's 1533-position model. The record is from RNAcentral.
AACGAACGCUGGCGGCAUGCCUAACACAUGCAAGUCGAACGAGACCUUCGGGUCUAGUGGCGCACGGGUGCGUAACGCGUGGGAACCUGCCCUUAGGUUCGGAAUAACUCCCCGAAAGGGGUGCUAAUACCGGAUAAUGUCUUCGGACCAAAGAUUUAUCGCCUUUGGAUGGGCCCGCGUUGGAUUAGCUAGUUGGUAGGGUAAAAGCCUACCAAGGCGACGAUCCAUAGCUGGUCUGAGAGGAUGAUCAGCCACACUGGGGCUGAGACACGGCCCAGACUCCUACGGGAGGCAGCAGUGGGGAAUAUUGGACAAUGGGCGAAAGCCUGAUCCAGCAAUGCCGCGUGAGUGAUGAAGGCUUUAGGGUUGUAAAGCUCUUUUACCCGGGAUGAUAAUGACAGUACCGGGAGAAUAAGCUCCGGCUAACUCCGUG